UUAGUUUGACUCUAACUAAUAAAUUAGUAAAUUUUAAUAAAUCUUAUGCUAAAUUUAAGUAAAUCAAUAUAUAUAUAUAUAUUAUAGAAUAUACUACAUUUGUAUUAUAUUCAAUAGCAGCGAUUAGGACUAUAAUAAUAUGCAAAUGCAUGAAAUGAUUUAAAUAUUAUUGUCGGCAAAGUUUGUGCCAGCAGCAGCGGUUAUACAAUAGACAUCUAACAUCAAAAAUCUGUUUAGAGAUAUUAAAAAUAAUAUAAAGGUUAAAUUUCUAUAUAUUUUAUACCAAAUAUCUCAUUUAAUAAACUAUAACCCAAAACAAGGAUUAGAUACCCUUUUAUUAUUAGUACAAGACAAGAUUGGAGACUACGAGCAAUAGCUUAAAAACCCAAGAAUUUGGCGGUGUCUUAUUCAAUCAGAGGAACCUGUUUAAUAAAUCGAUAGCCCACGAAUAAUUUACCUACUUUUGAAUAAUCAGCUUGUGUACUGCCGUCUAAUAGGCUCUUAAGGAUAUCUAUAAAUAAAUAAAUUUAUUUUAUGUCAGGUCAAAGUGCAGCCAAUAAUUAGGAUGAAAUGGGUUACAGUUUAUAUUAUUUACUGAUUAUUAGUGUAAAAUUAAUUUGAAGAAGAAUUUGAUAGUAAUUAAAUAAGUAUUAUAAUGAAACUGAACUUAAGACAAGCACAUAUCGCCCGUCACUCCUUUAUAUAGGAUAAGUCGUAACAUAGUAGGAGUAAUGGAAAUUGCAUCUAU
Molecule: ribosomal RNA, 748 nt
Filed under: Gastrostomobdella extenta
Lineage: Eukaryota; Metazoa; Annelida; Clitellata; Hirudinida; Gastrostomobdellidae
Description: 12S ribosomal RNA
Source: RNAcentral